ACUUAAGUAGUUUAAUAUAAAAUAAUAGUUUGUGGGGCUAUAGAUACGUUAUUGUCUUAAGUA
RNAcentral lists this transfer RNA (63 nucleotides) under Mordellochroa milleri. RNAcentral's name for it is "tRNA-His". The record is from RNAcentral. Lineage: Eukaryota; Metazoa; Arthropoda; Insecta; Coleoptera; Mordellidae.